RNAcentral lists this ribosomal RNA (482 nucleotides) under uncultured bacterium. RNAcentral describes it as "partial 16S ribosomal RNA". It matches the Rfam family "Bacterial small subunit ribosomal RNA", at positions 28 to 501 of the family's 1533-position model. The record is from RNAcentral.
GACGAACGCUGGCGGCGUGCUUAACACAUGCAAGUCGAACGAUGAAGCUAGAGCUUGCUCUGGUGGAUUAGUGGCGAACGGGUGAGUAACACGUGAGUAACCUGCCCCGAACUCUGGGAUAACUGCUGGAAACGGUAGCUAAUACCGGAUAUGACCAAUGAAGGCAUCUUCUGUUGGUGGAAAGAAUUUCGGUUCGGGAUGGACUCGCGGCCUAUCAGCUUGUUGGUGAGGUAACGGCUCACCAAGGCGACGACGGGUAGCCGGCCUGAGAGGGUGAUCGGCCACACUGGGACUGAGACACGGCCCAGACUCCUACGGGAGGCAGCAGUGGGGAAUAUUGCACAAUGGGCGCAAGCCUGAUCCAGCCAUGCCGCGUGCGGGAAGAAGGCCUUCGGGUUGUAAACCGCUUUUGUCGGGGAAGAAAUGCUCCGGGAUAAUACCCUGGGGAGAUGACGGUACCCGAAGAAUAAGCACCGGCUAAC